GAGUAACGCGUAUCCAACCUUCCGUACACUCAGGGAUAGCCUUUCGAAAGAAAGAUUAAUACCUGAUGGUAUGAUGAGAUUGCAUGAUAGCAUCAUUAAAGAUUUAUCGGUGUACGAUGGGGAUGCGUUCCAUUAGGUAGUAGGCGGGGUAACGGCCCACCUAGCCAACGAUGGAUAGGGGUUCUGAGAGGAAGGUCCCCCACAUUGGAACUGAGACACGGUCCAAACUCCUACGGGAGGCAGCAGUGAGGAAUAUUGGUCAAUGGACGAGAGUCUGAACCAGCCAAGUAGCGUGAAGGAUGAAGGUCCUACGGAUUGUAAACUUCUUUUAUAAGGGAAUAAACCCUCCCACGUGUGGGAGCUUGUAUGUACCUUAUGAAUAAGCAUCGGCUAACUCCGUGCCAGCAGCCGCGGUAAUACGGAGGAUGCGAGCGUUAUCCGGAUUUAUUGGGUUUAAAGGGAGCGCAGACGGGUCGUUAAGUCAGCUGUGAAAGUUUGGGGCUCAACCUUAAAAUUGCAGUUGAUACUGGCGUCCUUGAGUGCGGUUGAGGUGUGCGGAAUUCGUGGUGUAGCGGUGAAAUGCUUAGAUAUCACGAAGAACUCCGAUUGCGAAGGCAGCACACUAAUCCGUAACUGAC
Molecule: ribosomal RNA, 638 nt
Filed under: uncultured bacterium
Lineage: Bacteria
Description: bacterial SSU rRNA
Rfam family: Bacterial small subunit ribosomal RNA
Source: RNAcentral